GAUGAACGCUGGCGGCGUGCCUAAUACAUGCAAGUCGAGCGAACGGACGAGAAGCUUGCUUCUCUGAUGUAAGCGGCGGACGGGUGAGUAACACGUGGAUAACCUACCUAUAAGACUGGGAUAACUUCGGGAAACCGGAGCUAAUACCGGAUAAUAUUUUGAACCGCAUGGUUCAAAAGUGAAAGACGGUCUUGCUGUCACUUAUAGAUGGAUACGCGCUGCAUUAGCUAGUUGGUAAGGUAACGGCUUACCAAGGCAACGAUGCAUAGCCGACCUGAGAGGGUGAUCGGCCACACUGGAACUGAGACACGGUCCAGACUCCUACGGGAGGCAGCAGUAGGGAAUCUUCCGCAAUGGGCGAAAGCCUGACGGAGCAACGCCGCGUGAGUGAUGAAGGUCUUCGGAUCGUAAAACUCUGUUAUUAGGGAAGAACAUAUGUGUAAGUAACUGUGCACAUCUUGACGGUACCUAAUCAGAAAGCCACGGCUAACUACGUG
RNAcentral lists this ribosomal RNA (497 nucleotides) under uncultured bacterium. Its description in RNAcentral is "partial 16S ribosomal RNA". It matches the Rfam family "Bacterial small subunit ribosomal RNA", at positions 28 to 507 of the family's 1533-position model. The record is from RNAcentral.